This 24-nucleotide non-coding RNA is filed under the name Mus musculus (house mouse). Lineage: Eukaryota; Metazoa; Chordata; Mammalia; Rodentia; Muridae. The record is from RNAcentral.
UGAAUGAUGGGCUGGGGACAUUUA